UGCCUACGGAGGCAGCAGUGGGGAAUAUUGCACAAUGGGGGAAACCCUGAUGCAGCGACGCCGCGUGAGUGAAGAAGUAUUCCGGUAUGUAAAGCUCUAUCAGCAGGGAAGAAAAUGACGGUACCUGACUAAGAAGCCCCGGCUAACUACGUGCCAGCAGCCGCGGUAAUACGUAGGGGGCAAGCGUUAUCCGGAUUUACUGGGUGUAAAGGGAGCGUGGACGGCAGAGCAAGUCCGGAGUGAAAGCCCGGGGCCCAACCCCGGGACUGCUCUGGAAACUGUUAAGCUAGAGUGCGGGAGGGGCG
This 305-nucleotide ribosomal RNA is filed under the name uncultured bacterium. RNAcentral's name for it is "bacterial SSU rRNA". It matches the Rfam family "Bacterial small subunit ribosomal RNA", at positions 335 to 659 of the family's 1533-position model. The record is from RNAcentral.